This 465-nucleotide ribosomal RNA is filed under the name Vreelandella stevensii. RNAcentral describes it as "partial 16S ribosomal RNA". It matches the Rfam family "Bacterial small subunit ribosomal RNA", at positions 338 to 795 of the family's 1533-position model. The record is from RNAcentral. Lineage: Bacteria; Pseudomonadati; Pseudomonadota; Gammaproteobacteria; Oceanospirillales; Halomonadaceae.
CCUACGGGGGGCAGCAGUGGGGAAUAUUGGACAAUGGGGGGAACCCUGAUCCAGCCAUGCCGCGUGUGUGAAGAAGGCCCUCGGGUUGUAAAGCACUUUCAGUGAGGAAGAACGCCUGGUGGUUAAUACCCAUCAGGAAAGACAUCACUCACAGAAGAAGCACCGGCUAACUCCGUGCCAGCAGCCGCGGUAAUACGGAGGGUGCGAGCGUUAAUCGGAAUUACUGGGCGUAAAGCGCGCGUAGGUGGCUUGAUAAGCCGGUUGUGAAAGCCCCGGGCUCAACCUGGGAACGGCAUCCGGAACUGUCAAGCUAGAGUGCAGGAGAGGAAGGUAGAAUUCCAGGUGUAGCGGUGAAAUGCGUAGAGAUCGGGAGGAAUACCAGUGGCGAAGGCGGCCUUCUGGACUGACACUGACACUGAGGUGCGAAAGCGUGGGUAGCAAACAGGAUUAGAUACCCGGGUAGUC